This 423-nucleotide ribosomal RNA is filed under the name uncultured bacterium. RNAcentral describes it as "bacterial SSU rRNA". It matches the Rfam family "Bacterial small subunit ribosomal RNA", at positions 362 to 776 of the family's 1533-position model. The record is from RNAcentral.
UAUUGCGCAAUGGGGGAAACCCUGACGCAGCAACGCCGCGUGAGUGAGGAAGGUCUUCGGAUUGUAAAACUCUUUUAUUUGGGAAAAAUGUUCUUAUGGCUAAUAUCCAUAAGGAGUGAUGGUACCAAAGGAAUAAGCACCGGCUAACUUCGUGCCAGCAGCCGCGGUAAUACGAAGGGUGCAAGCGUUGUUCGGAAUCAUUGGGCGUAAAGCGCGCGCAGGCGGAUCAGCAAGUCAGAUGUGAAAUCUCGGAGCUCAACUCCGAAACUGCGUCUGAAACUGCUAGUCUAGAAUGUCGGAGGGGGCAGGGGAAUUUCACGUGUAGGGGUAAAAUCCGUAGAGAUGUGAAGGAACACCGGAGGCGAAGGCGCCUGCCUGGACGACUAUUGACGCUGAGGCGCGAAAGCGUGGGGAGCAAACAGG